Molecule: ribosomal RNA, 255 nt
Filed under: uncultured bacterium
Lineage: Bacteria
Description: partial 16S ribosomal RNA
Rfam family: Bacterial small subunit ribosomal RNA
Source: RNAcentral
UACGUAGGUGGCAAGCGUUGUCCGGAUUUACUGGGCGUAAAGGAUGCGUAGGUGGAUAUUUAAGUGGGAUGUGAAAUACCCGAGCUCAACUUGGGUGCUGCAUUCCAAACUGGAUAUCUAGAGUGCAGGAGAGGUAAGUGGAAUUCCUAGUGUAGCGGUGAAAUGCGUAGAGAUUAGGAAGAACACCAGUGGCGAAGGCGACUUACUGGACUGUAACUGACACUGAGGCAUGAAAAGCGUGGGGAGCAAACAGGG